Molecule: ribosomal RNA, 442 nt
Filed under: uncultured bacterium
Lineage: Bacteria
Description: partial 16S ribosomal RNA
Rfam family: Bacterial small subunit ribosomal RNA
Source: RNAcentral
CCUACGGGAGGCAGCAGUAGGGAAUCUUUCACAAUGGGCGAAAGCCUGAUGGAGCAACGCCGCGUGCAGGAUGAAGGCCUUCGGGUUGUAAACUUCUUUUAUAAGCGAGAAAUAUGAUGGUAACUUAUGAAUAAGGAUCGGCUAACUACGUGCCAGCAGCCGCGGUCAUACGUAGGAUCCGAGCAUUAUCCGGAGUGACUGGGUGUAAAGAGUUGCGUAGGUGGCAUAAUAAGUAGCUAGUGAAAUCUGGUGGCUCAACCAUUCAGACUAUUAGCGAAACUGUUAAGCUCGAGACCGUUAGGGGUAACUGGAAUUUCUAGUGUAGGAGUGAAAUCCGUAGAUAUUAGAAGGAACACCAAUAGCGUAGGCAGGUUGCUGGGACGGUUCUGACACUAAGGCACGAAAGCGUAGGGAGCAAACGGGAUUAGAUACCCCUGUAGUC